RNAcentral lists this ribosomal RNA (640 nucleotides) under uncultured archaeon. RNAcentral describes it as "bacterial SSU rRNA". It matches the Rfam family "Archaeal small subunit ribosomal RNA", at positions 21 to 637 of the family's 1478-position model. The record is from RNAcentral.
CCCCACUGCUGUCGGGAUGGGACUAAGACAUGCUAGUCGAGUGUCUUCAAGCCAAUAUGAAGGCACGGCGCACAGCUCAGUAACACGUGGCUAACCUGCCCUUGGAACAGGUACAACCCCGGGAAACUGGGGCUAAUUCCUGAUAAGUGAGAGAUCCUGGAAUGGGCUCUCGCUCAAAGGGCGUCUGGAUUAUGCUUCCAGCCGUCGUCCAAGGAGGGGGCCGCGGCCGAUCAGGUUGUUGGUGAGGUAACGGCUCACCAAGCCUUUAACCGGUACGGGCCGUGAGAGCGGUGGCCCGGAGAUGGGCACUGAGACAAGGACCCAGGCCCUACGGGGCGCAGCAGUCGCGAAAACUCACCAAUACACGAAAGUGUGAGUGGGCCAUCCCGAGUGCCGUCUGCUGAAGAUGGCUUUUCCCUUGUGUAAUAAGCUGGGGGAAUAAGGAGAGGGCAAGCCUGGUGUCAGCCGCCGCGGUAAUACCAGCUCUCCGAGUGGUGGGGAUACUUAUUGAGCCUAAAGCAUCCGUAGCUUGCUGGUCAAGUCCUCCGUUAAAUCCAGCGAUUCAAUCGUUGGGCUGCGGGGGAUACUGGCCGGCUUGGGGACGGGAGAGGCCGACGGUAUUUCCGGGGUAGGGGUGAAA